This 306-nucleotide long non-coding RNA is filed under the name Malus domestica (apple). Its description in RNAcentral is "long non-coding RNA (MDOM_LNC000415)". Lineage: Eukaryota; Viridiplantae; Streptophyta; Magnoliopsida; Rosales; Rosaceae. The record is from RNAcentral.
AUGAAUAAACUCUUAAGUGUUAGUGAAUCUAUUGUUUUGAUGGGAUACCCAUUCUACGAAACUAGUUUCAACGAUCCAACCGUCAAACAUGUUUGUAUAUAUUUCGAGAUUGCAUAUGCCAAAAAUUGCAAAAAAACAAACAUUCAGAGAUCAAGUAACGAGACAAAACUUUUCGACAGUUAUAAACGAAAAAUCACGAUUUAACGGUUAUUUUAACUCCGAUUUUGAUGAUUUUUUUACAGCUACACUCAUUGACCUUAUAUGAAUACAAUGAAUGAAUUCGAUCUUCAAUUUAAAAUAUUUACA